GGGGGAUUAGCUCAGUUGGGAGAGCGACGGCUUUGCAAGCCGUAGGUCAUCGGUUCGAACCCGAUAUCCUCCACUA
This 76-nucleotide transfer RNA is filed under the name Allomicrovenator marinus. Its description in RNAcentral is "Bradymonadales bacterium V1718 tRNA-Ala". It matches the Rfam family "tRNA". From Rfam's summary of the family: Transfer RNA (tRNA) molecules are approximately 80 nucleotides in length. Lineage: Bacteria; Deltaproteobacteria; Bradymonadales; Allomicrovenatoraceae. The record is from RNAcentral.